Long non-coding RNA from Trachemys scripta elegans, 4170 nucleotides. RefSeq lists it as uncharacterized. The transcript has 5 exons. NCBI's taxonomy places the organism in Eukaryota, Metazoa, Chordata, Testudines, Emydidae. The record is from RefSeq and is a predicted model, not a curated record.
GUUUCACUUUGGACCGGAGUGGGAAAGCUCCAGAAUUCAGCCUCUUAUUAAGUAUGACUAAGGAUUUAUACACAGUGAAAUAACUUCACCAGGAGAGACUGAUGAAGCCCCACAUCAGGCUAUCCCAUAGCUCGGCAGUUAGAGCAUGUACCUGACAGGAUUUGAAUUGAGGUCUCACACCUUCCCCCCCGCCACAUCUGAGGGGAAAAGAGAACUGGGGUCUUCCACAUCCCAGAAUGGGGGAGAGAAUCACCUUUCUCAAGGGUUUUGAGAUCUUCAAAUGAAAAAUACAAAAUAUUCUCAGGUCAACAGUCAAGCAUACUCAGUGAGCUGUAUAUAAAAUGGAGAUUUCAUAUUAUGAAUUAUGAUUAUUUUUAUUCAUAGCUAUUUACCAGCUCUAACAGCCUUUCAAAAACUGGAUGCUCAGUUGAAAGAUUUCAUCUCUAGAAAAAAAGAAGUUCAUCCCAAUGGGCCACUGGAGAGGACUUUUGGAUGAAAGUAUCCACAUGCGAUUCCUCCAGAUCAUCCAAUCAGAGGGAGGAGAAGAAAACCUGCCUAGCUCUACAGGAAAGCCAGGAGAAUUUUCAACCGAAACAAUUUGUCAAAAACCAACCAAUUCACAAAAUGUUUCAGGAUCACUCUGUGACACUUUGCCCUAUAUUCACCGCUCUAAUAUGAUUAUAAGUUUUGUACACAGUAUACCUUGUGAGACAUCAUUUUAAAAAUCUUGAUCUGUUGAACAUUAAUAUACAUGUAUGUAUGUGAAGUUAUGAAGUAUUGCUUUAUGUGUUAUUGAAAUAUAUUCUGAGAUUGAGAACACCCACAACCAGCCUUUCAGUUGUAACAAAGGAGGGCCCAGCGAGCUUUAAUUGCCCAUGAAGAAAACAGAGGCUCCUUAGAGAAGGCACAUAUGCAAUGUACACUGCUUGACCAAUGGGGACCCCCCAAGUCACAGCAAGGAUCUUUCGAGCAGCUAGAAGAAGGAAUCAAAAGAGAGACAGUGGCUCUUGGCCCUUCUUCCCCCAUCCCCACCCCAUCUUAACACCUGGAAGCAUGUCUGUAAGACAAAGAUCUUGAACUGGGGAAGUUUUUGUAAACGUGUUAAAAUUUCCUAAAUAAGUAGUUAAAAAUGUUUGAAAGGGAAGAAAUAUUGGAUAUCUCCUCCUUUUUGGUCACAGGAUGCCUGGGUUGGCUACCUCUCAACUGUCUAUUGUGUGUUGCUGAAUAUAGUGUAUGGCUCACAGCACAACGAUUGUACAGCAUUGUGUAUGUGCUCUUCAUGUACUUGUCGUAGAAAAUUGAUAUCAUACAUCAUUGUUCAGAAUUUGCUACAAUGAACCACAAAGUUGAUACAAAUCAGUAACACAAAGAGAAGAGGAGAAAUGCAUUUUUGGAGGAGCUGUGAAUGGUAGAGACAUUGAACAGGGAAUUUUAUUUUGCGUUUACUGUGAAAUUACACACACUGCCUUGACAACACAAACUCACACAUAGCAAAUAUAAAAUAAAUAAGAAAAUAUUUUUCUUGUUAUGUUUUGAAAAUCUGCAUUAUCUUCACGCAACAGCCACCGAUUCCAUGUAGCUGCAAUGAUUCUAAGUUUUGUAUUUUAGUUAUAAAGAAUGUAACAACGAUUAUUCCAUCUCAAAAGAAUAUUAAAACAAUGUCACAGGCAGACUUGUGAUAUUUUCCAAAAAAAGAUUUGUAGUUAUUCUGAAACAAGUAGAUGAUGGUCACAUUUCUGUUCUCAGUUCCACCCAUGUAAAUCUUUAGUAAAUCCACUGAAGCUCAUGGUGUCGCUCUGGAUGUAUUCUGGUGUGACUGAGAUCUAAUCUGUCCUCAUGCUUUUAGCAUGUUGCUUGUCAUGAUCUGCUGAUUCAGCAGGAAGUUUGAAAAAAACAAAACAAAGCCUUACUGCUUUUGAUUUCCUCGUGUAUUAAAACAAUGCAUAGCCAAAGUACACAUUGUAAUAGAGCAUUUUUUAUUUUGGCAUUCUGAUUAUUAUUCAGAUGUCACUGUAUAAUGGGGCCAUACAAUAUAUUCUGUUCCAAAAGAAUUUCACUAAAAGUGACAUGGUCACAUGAGCUUCUCUUUUAUGGUUAAUAUAGUUACUGGAGCUGAGGGAGGGAAAAGAAAACAAAACAAAUUGCUUUAUUCACCACUGUUACUCCAGCCUCACUCCAAUGGAAUUGGACUAUCAUAAAACUGGAGUUAUGCCAAGGUGAAUCAGGUCCAUAGUCUUACAUUAUGCAGUUUAGAGUCUAUGUCUCAUAUAAUGUUAUUUAUAUAGCACUCAAACUCUGCUACGGUCUUUAUGAACAAAUCAGGAGAAAAGGCCCAAAUCAGCUCUGAGGGAACUGCAACUGAAUUAGACAAUAAGCAGAUGAAGGAGGUGGGAAUGGGAUGCAACUAAAGCCAAUGACUGAGUAAGGAAUGAUAUUGUAGUUGACCAUAACUUGUUUCUCCCUCUCUCUCAUACAUGAGCUCUUGUGUUUUCUUUCACACCAUCAUUUAAUAGGCUGAGGAAGGGGAAGCAGACAGAAGGCCAUGGGCCUUUUGAAAGAAAGAAUGUGGCAGGGGGUGGUUACAGGUAUAGGAGGACACAUGGAAGAAGGUGCAGAGAUGAGAGUGAAGUGAGGAAAUGAAGAGGGCAGUUAGCUGUGUGGGUCAGUUAAACCACAAAGGGCAAGGGGGAUGAGGGGAAAUAUAUGAAAGCAGAGAGGUAGAAUGGAGCUAGACCAUGUAGGUCUUUGAUGGGAAGAACUAUGAAGGAGCUUAAACUUGAUGUGGAAGAUGAGGGCAACUCAGAGAAGGCAUCUGAAGAAGGGCUGGUGUACAUGGCAUUUUGAGGGUUGGCAGAAGAGGGAAAGAGGGAGGUUGCUAGACUACAUUUCAAAUAACAAACUGGAAUUGAGAGAAAAAUUGACAUUUUUUCUAUAUGGAAAAUGUUGUGAAUUUGUGCAAAAAAAAAUUGACUCAAACAAUAUAAUUUUCUAUCUGAGUCUGUUAAAAUCAUACAAAUUGGACAUCUGAAAUUCGGAUAUAGGUUUGAUGAUAAGAGAAAAAAACAGGCAAGAUGAAGAAUGUUGUGGAAAUGUAUCCCCAAAAUUCUGUCCCACAAACACAUCAGUUAUAUAAAAACCUAUAUUAGUAUUUAGUAUUCAUAUUACAGUAGCACCCAAGAGACCUAAAUAGGGUCAGAGCUCCUUUGUGCUGGGUUCUGUUAAAAUACCAUUAAGAAGGUCCUUACCCCCAUGAAUUUAUAGUCCAACCCUCCGAUUCCUCAAAGCACAUUAAGCACAUGCUUAAGGCCUGUUCAAGUGAAGUACAUGCUUAAGUGCCUGGCGAAAUCAGGGCCUAAAAGUGCACACCUUUUAAUCUAAUACCCACCAUAUCCAUUCAAGGAUUGUUUUUUUCCUGCUUCCCAAACAACUAAAGAAUGCAUCACUAAAUCUAAUUCUGAUCUCUCACUGGUUUUCACUGGUAUAACUCCAUUAAUUUCAGGUUCUAGGCCAGAUUUGCAUGGGUGGAAUUAAGAGAUUCAGCCCCCCAAAACAUCUCAUUACACUGUCCCAUUGUACUUACAAUUAACAUAAUUUAAAUUGAACAUCCUAUACAUAAUUUCCCAACCUAACAGAUGGCCCCCAAAGUCAACAGAUGUCAUCUAACUUACUCACUACUUGAUUUAAUAUUUGUGACGACCAUUUGCUUCUGUAGAAAUAAUAAUGAUGUCAAAAAUAGAGAAUAAAGGCUUAAAGUGGGAAUAAGCAGCAGGAUAAGGUAAUUUCUUAAGAAAACACAGAUCCUGUUUUCACACACAUUCUUAAUAAAAAAUAUGAAGACUCUGAUUUAGGAAAACAUCCCUGUUCAGAAAGAACACUUAAGAACAUUGUUAACUACAAGCAAGCAUCUAAAUCCUAUUGAAGUCAAAGUUUAAGCACAAAGUUUAAAGAAGUUAUAUUGAAAGAGACACAUGCUUUUCUGAACUGGAUCCUAAAAAAGGGAGAAAAACAGAGGAUACGUAUGAUACAAAGGAGGAAAUGUUUGUAUUGAAUAUUUGUUUUUCAUAUGUCCCAUUGUAUGCCUGUGAUGCUCUGUACCUCGGAGGAACACCGUGUACCCCCAUGUUUAUCCUUAUAAUAUGAUUGUGUGGUAUCCAAUGCAAAGUUUGUCAU